UACGGAGGGGGCGAGCGUUGUCCGAAGUUACUGGGCGUAAAGCGCGUGUAGGCGGGUUGCCAAGUCCGCUGUGAAAGCCCGAGGCUCAACCUCGGAGGGUCGGUGGAUACUGGCAGUCUUGAAGGUGCUAGGGGGAGAUGGAAUUACCGGUGUAGCGGUGAAAUGCGUAGAGAUCGGUAGGAACACCAGUGGCGAAGGCGGUCUCCUGGGGCAUUCUUGACGCUGAGACGCGAAAGCCAGGGGAGCGAACGGG
Molecule: ribosomal RNA, 253 nt
Filed under: uncultured bacterium
Lineage: Bacteria
Description: partial 16S ribosomal RNA
Rfam family: Bacterial small subunit ribosomal RNA
Source: RNAcentral